GCCGGGCAUGGUGGUGGGUGCCUGUAAUCCCAGCUACUUGGGAGGCUGAAGCAGGAGAAUCGCUUGAACCCGGGAGGCAGAGGUUGCAGUGAGCCAAGAUAGCACCACUGCACUCCAGCCUGGGUGACAAAGCGAGACUCUGUCUCAA
Molecule: unclassified non-coding RNA, 148 nt
Organism: Macaca fascicularis (crab-eating macaque)
Lineage: Eukaryota; Metazoa; Chordata; Mammalia; Primates; Cercopithecidae
Rfam family: Metazoan signal recognition particle RNA
About the family: The signal recognition particle (SRP) is a universally conserved ribonucleoprotein. It is involved in the co-translational targeting of proteins to membranes. The eukaryotic SRP consists of a 300-nucleotide 7S RNA and six proteins: SRPs 72, 68, 54, 19, 14, and 9.
Source: Ensembl